Molecule: ribosomal RNA, 214 nt
Filed under: Aeromonas sobria
Lineage: Bacteria; Pseudomonadati; Pseudomonadota; Gammaproteobacteria; Aeromonadales; Aeromonadaceae
Description: partial 16S ribosomal RNA
Rfam family: Bacterial small subunit ribosomal RNA
Source: RNAcentral
AAAUUGAAGAGUUUGAUCAUGGCUCAGAUUGAACGCUGGCGGCAGGCCUAACACAUGCAAGUCGAGCGGCAGCGGGAAAGUAGCUUGCUACUUUUGCCGGCGAGCGGCGGACGGGUGAGUAAUGCCUGGGGAUCUGCCCAGUCGAGGGGGAUAACAGUUGGAAACGACUGCUAAUACCGCAUACGCCCUACGGGGGAAAGGAGGGGACCUUCGG